Molecule: ribosomal RNA, 468 nt
Filed under: uncultured bacterium
Lineage: Bacteria
Description: partial 16S ribosomal RNA
Rfam family: Bacterial small subunit ribosomal RNA
Source: RNAcentral
GACGAACGCUGGCGGCGUGCUUAACACAUGCAAGUCGAACGGAAAGGCCCUGCUUUUGUGGGGUGCUCGAGUGGCGAACGGGUGAGUAACACGUGAGUAACCUGCCCUUGACUUUGGGAUAACUUCAGGAAACUGAGGCUAAUACCGGAUAGGAGCUCCUGCUGCAUGGUGGGGGUUGGAAAGUUUCGGCGGUUGGGGAUGGACUCGCGGCUUAUCAGCUUGUUGGUGGGGUAGUGGCUUACCAAGGCUUUGACGGGUAGCCGGCCUGAGAGGGUGACCGGCCACAUUGGGACUGCGAUACGGCCCAGACUCCUACGGGAGGCAGCAGUGGGGAAUAUUGCACAAUGGGCGGAAGCCUGAUGCAGCAACGCCGCGUGCGGGAUGACGGCCUUCGGGUUGUAAACCGCUUUCGCCUGUGACGAAGCGUGAGUGACGGUAAUGGGUAAAGAAGCACCGGCUAACUACGUG